GAAGGCACGCACUACUGAAGGAUAACGAAAAUCGACAAUUAAUAAAAGCUAUGAAGGUAGGCAGGGUAAGAAAAAAAAUGGGGAAUAUUACUCCAGCCAGUACUAUGCACGCUGCCUGACGCACGACAAACUUCUAUGAACCAAAAAUCCUACAGUUUGUUGAGCAUUCUUUAAAAAGGGACUCCACGAUUUUCGUUGUAGUUACUUAGAUUUUGAUAUCGAGGUAAUAACUUAUGAAAACUCGGUGAGAAGAGCAGCCUGGAAGGUACGUUUCUUUUUCCGAGGGCGUCCCGGCAGCGGCCACUCAAACCAUAAUACAGUUUACUUCGUGAGCCGCGCGUUUCUCCAUACCUGUGUAUUUGUAGGCUAUUUAUUAAUGGAGGGCUAUGAGACGGACUGUGAUGGUAGCCUGUAGUGAUAGAUAAUGGUGCCUGACGCUUCCCUGCACACGUAGGAGGCCGAGUUAAGUGAAGAUGGUGAGCGACAAGCCGAAAAAGGUGCUUGGAUUCCUCCGGGCCCGUGCGGGUCGGCGGGACAGAGAGCCCACCAAGACCAGGUAUUUUUACUUGGCUUUGUCCCUUCACUAUUUCGUCAAUCUGGCUUGCUCCAUCACUGGGGACACGUAAGCCUCUUCACCUGGCCAAGGAAGAGAGAGUGGAGAGGAGAGAAGAAGAGAAGAGAGAAGAGCAUCUUGAUUCUUCUUUUCCAUGGCAUCAGUUUCUUUAUCCUUGUAGAUGUCAUUAGAUUUCAUGAAGCUGAGGAGAAAGGCUAGUAUUUUUUGCUCACCAGGGGACUCAGUUUAUUUUUGUAGAUGUCAUGAGGUGAUUUUAUGAAACUGAGGAGGAAGGCUAAUACUUUUUCUUCAUCAGGGGACUCAGUUUCUUUAUUUUUGUAGAAUGUCAUUAGAUUUUAUGAUGCUGGGGAGGAAGGCUAGUACUUUUCCUCACCAAGGGGACACAGUUUCUUUAUUUUUGUAGAUGGCAUUAGGUGAUUUUUAUGAAGCUGAGGAAGAAGGAUAGGACUUCUCACCAAGGGACUAUAAAAUGAAUCAAGUCACUCAUCAAACAGUUACCAAAUCAUGCACUAUCUUUCACCUGAGCAACUAACUGGUGAUUCGAGGGAUUAUGGGAAGUGUCUGUAGCACUGAAGGAAUUAAUACGAACUUCGCUAAAUCAAUGGGCGUCACUUGAGCCACGCUACAGUGCAGUACUUAACGACUCGUUGCCAUGACGACAUAGUCAACAGUCACCCGAUACUAGACCUGGCAAGCAGGACGCGAGUGUGAGGCGUGCUGGCCUUGUCCCGCCCCGGCUACGUGUUCAGGGUGAGGGGGCAGGUGCGUCGUGCGUGGCGUGGGGGGGAGGGGUGAAGGAGGGGGUGGCGCUACCUGUAACAAAGGAGGGUAAACAUUGCAUGCUUCGUUAUGCAGCGUUAAGGUGAGGGCGUGAGGGUGUGAGGGUGAGCGGCGCGGUAACUCUAACACCCUGAGAAAGGGGUUAGGUGGCGGCCUUUCUGGUCCUGCUCUCUCCCUCUCUCUCUGGCACCUCUUGAUCUGCGCUUCCGGAUGGCUGGCGUCCUGCGGAAACACUUAAUAUGCCCUGCCAUGAGUUAGCAAGGUAUUCAUCGGUAUUGGCUUGCUCGAUAAAGGCAACCAGAGCCUUAUCUAAUUUAUUUCCUGUCCUGCUUGAUAAUGACAAGGUCGCUUAAUCUUGUACAUUUGUCCCCUAGUGUCGUGAGGAAAGGGGAUGUUAAUAUUUUUACAUUUAGUUAUGAUAUUAUUAACCGUUAAAUCUUCCUCACUAAUGACAUAUAGUACCUAAGCUAUUGCCUUUGCUACCUGAUGUCACAUGUGGAAUUUUAAUCAGUCCUAAGUAACUCAUUAGGGAAAUAUACGCGUAAUUACGGCUAUUGUCCUGGUCUUCCUACUCCUCCCCGUCCUCCGCCUCCUCUUUGAUCUCCGGCUUGUCUCAUUAUAAGCCACGCCGUUGCAGUUUGUGAGUCGGUGAUAAGAACAAACAGAGCGGAGAUUAGAGAGCCAUGCAUUGCGGCGCGCCCUGCAGGAAGGUGACGGAGGAGCGAGGCGGCGGCGUUUGGGUAAAUAAUAAAAAGAACAAUACGAAAUAUGUACUCAACCUCACCUUGCCGAGAGGAGUGAGCGAUGGAGUAAACAGGCCGAUGAUUACACGCCCACACACACACACACACACACACACUUAUGCAACCCCCACAGCCAUGCAACACCUUCACUCCGCCUCACGAUUGCUUGAAAAUACCGACAGUGAUGAUUUUUUUUAACGGUUCGAACCCCAGAGAGGAUCCGUGGACAUUUCCGAGUGAUUGGUCGAUAAGAAGUAAUGGGAUCCUUUCUCUUUUUGGUGAUUUCUGAAGUGGUUUCUCGUCGUUUUCAUUGGCGAUUUGUGAUAUCCGUUGCGGUGCCAUCAGUCAGUCAAUCGGUCAAUCAGUCGGUCAAUCAGUCAGUCAGUCAGUCAGU
Molecule: long non-coding RNA, 2491 nt
Organism: Scylla paramamosain (green mud crab)
Lineage: Eukaryota; Metazoa; Arthropoda; Malacostraca; Decapoda; Portunidae
Exons: 2
Source: RefSeq, a predicted model, not a curated record